AACGAACGCUGGCGGCAUGCCUAACACAUGCAAGUCGAACGAGACCUUCGGGUCUAGUGGCGCACGGGUGCGUAACGCGUGGGAACCUGCCCUUAGGUUCGGAAUAACUCCCCGAAAGGGGUGCUAAUACCGGAUAAUGUCUUCGGACCAAAGAUUUAUCGCCUUUGGAUGGGCCCGCGUUGGAUUAGCUAGUUGGUAGGGUAAAAGCCUACCAAGGCGACGAUCCAUAGCUGGUCUGAGAGGAUGAUCAGCCACACUGGGACUGAGACACGGCCCAGACUAGCAUGCGGGAGAGACGCGGGGAGGGUGAGGCCGUCGUCGGAGUUCUGAACCUCCGAUGCCGGGUGAGAGACGAACGCCUCAGGGAGAGAACGCGCUUUUACCCUCCAUGCCAGCGGCCGCACAAGUAGCAGAAGCUCCCUCUAACGCCG
This 431-nucleotide ribosomal RNA is filed under the name uncultured bacterium. Its description in RNAcentral is "partial 16S ribosomal RNA". It matches the Rfam family "Bacterial small subunit ribosomal RNA", at positions 29 to 505 of the family's 1533-position model. The record is from RNAcentral.